CAAGCUCAUCACAAGCAGAAGAGUCCAAAACUUCCGGAGUCAUUGGCUGUCUGGACCUGCUGGGCUGACAGGAGACGAGGAUGCGCUGCUAUAGGUGGCUGCCCGCCAGGUUUCCACCACCGAAUCGGAGAGCUUUCAGCGAAUUCCCUUCCUGUUCCCCGAUUUAAGAGGUGACGUCCACUAUACUACCCUUGUCAACUCUCUCCUGACAAGAACUGAAUCCACGUCUCAUGUGCCCUCUCAUCCACUGGCAUAUUGAAUGUUUCCUCUCCAAGC
Molecule: long non-coding RNA, 276 nt
Filed under: Salmo salar (Atlantic salmon)
Lineage: Eukaryota; Metazoa; Chordata; Actinopteri; Salmoniformes; Salmonidae
Description: lncRNA (ENSSSAG00000102349.1)
Source: RNAcentral